CGCAUCUGUGCAUGCAGCAUAUAAUAAGCGGAGGAAAAGAAACUAACAAGGAUUCCCCUAGUAACGGCGAGUGAAGCGGGAAGAGCUCAAAUUUGAAAUCUUAAAGGGUUUCCCUUUACGAAUUGUAGUUUAAAGAAGUGUUUUCUGUUGAGGUUUUGGUAAAAGUUCUUUGGAAUAGGACAUCAUAGAGGGUGAGAAUCCCGUAUUUGACCUUUACUUUCAACUUUGUGAUACACUUUCAAAGAGUCGGAUUGUUUGGGAAUGCAGUCCAAAAUGGGUGGUAAAUUUCAUCUAAAGCUAAAUAUUGGCGAGAGACCGAUAGCGAACAAGUACCGUGAGGGAAAGAUGGAAAGAACUUUGAAAAGAGAGUUAAACAGUACGUGAAAUUGUCAAAAGGGAAGCGUUUGACACCAGUGUUGUUUUUCUGAAAAUCAAUUAAAGAACUGUUUAUGCUAAGCUGUUUAGACUUUAUCAGCUAUCUGUUUAGUUUUGAGCUUUCCUUUAAUGCACUUUUCAGUUAACAAGUCAACAUCAAUUUCUUUUGCUGUAAAAAAGCUUGAGGAAGGUGGCUUGAGAUUCGUCUUAAGUGUUUAUAGCCUCUUGCCUAUGCAGUCGGAGAGAUUGAGGUCUGCAGCGUAGAUCCUUCGGGGCUAAAUGCAUUUGUGCUAAGUUAUAGCAUUUUAUAGACAACUUGUUGACUAUGAUUUGUCUUGUAGCUUACUCGCUUAUGCUAUUUUACCUACGCUUAGGAUGUUGAUCUGUAGUGCGUGCGC
RNAcentral lists this ribosomal RNA (773 nucleotides) under uncultured Neocallimastigales. RNAcentral's name for it is "partial large subunit ribosomal RNA". It matches the Rfam family "Eukaryotic large subunit ribosomal RNA", at positions 26 to 646 of the family's 3401-position model. The record is from RNAcentral. Lineage: Eukaryota; Fungi; Neocallimastigomycota; Neocallimastigomycetes; Neocallimastigales.